ACAGCAGUAGCCGCGGGAAUACGAGGGGGGCAAGCGUUGUUCGGAAUUAUUGGGCGUAAAGGGAGCGUAGGCGGUUUUGUAAGUCGUGUGUGAAAUCUUCGGGCUCAACCCGAAGUCUGCACACGAAACUGCAGGGCUUGAGUAUGGGAGAGGUGAGUGGAAUUCCUGGUGUAGCGGUGAAAUGCGUAGAUAUCAGGAGGAACACCUGUGGCGAAAGCGGCUCACUGGACCAUUACUGACGCUGAGGCUCGAAAGCUAGGGGAGCAAACAGGAUUAGAUACCCCCGUAGUCCCUGUCUCUUAUAC
Molecule: ribosomal RNA, 305 nt
Filed under: uncultured bacterium
Lineage: Bacteria
Description: partial 16S ribosomal RNA
Rfam family: Bacterial small subunit ribosomal RNA
Source: RNAcentral